UAUCAAUAGGUUCAAGAUGUCGAAAGCAUCUGUAUGGGUAUCGAUUCAAGAAAUUGGCCUAAAUUUGCAUAGGAAUACGCCACAGCAUCAUGCUGAAUGUAGCGGCAGACUUUGGAGGAAUUGACACCAGCACAGCAUCACGUGUUGUUCGUGAUGUAUCAAGGGAAAUAGCGAGAUGCCUAUGACGAAUGAGGAACUAGAGGAAACCCAAACAGACUUCCAGAAUAUUGCCAAUUUUCCUAAUGUUAUUGGUGCUGUGGACUGCACCCAUAUUAGGAUUCAAUCUCCAGGUGGAGAAAAUGCUGAAAACUUUCGCAACAGGAAA
This is a long non-coding RNA of Leptinotarsa decemlineata (Colorado potato beetle), 325 nucleotides long. Lineage: Eukaryota; Metazoa; Arthropoda; Insecta; Coleoptera; Chrysomelidae. The record is from RefSeq and is a predicted model, not a curated record.